GAUUAACGCUGGCGGCGUGCAUAACACAUGCAAGUCGAACGAUGAAACUUAAAUGAUUUCUUCGGAAUGAACUUAAGUGGAUUAGUGGCGGACGGGUGAGUAACGCGUGAGUAACCUGCCUUACACAAGGGGAUAGCCGUUGGAAACGACGAAUAAUACCCUAUGAAACUAUCACUUCGCAUGAAGCGGUAGUCAAAGUGUUAGCGGUGUAAGAUGGACUUGCGUCUGAUUAGCUAGUUGGUGAGAAAAAAGCCCACCAAGGCAACGAUCAGUAGCCGGCUUGAGAGAGUGUACGGCCACAUUGGGACUGAGACACGGCCCAGACUCCUACGGGAGGCAGCAGUGGGGAAUUUUGCACAAUGGGGGAAACCCUGAUGCAGCGACGCCGCGUGAUUUAGAAGGCCUUCGGGUUGUAAAAAUCUUUUGUAUAGGAAGAAAAUGACAGUACUAUACGAAUAAGGUCCGGCUAAUUACGUG
This 477-nucleotide ribosomal RNA is filed under the name uncultured bacterium. RNAcentral describes it as "partial 16S ribosomal RNA". It matches the Rfam family "Bacterial small subunit ribosomal RNA", at positions 28 to 507 of the family's 1533-position model. The record is from RNAcentral.